ACACUGAUGGUGAAACGGUAUCAUGCUUGCCUUCCAUAGUUAUUGCUUCGGUAAGCAAGCGGCACGGGUUCGACUCCCGUUCAGUGUA
Molecule: non-coding RNA, 88 nt
Organism: Fomitopsis betulina (razor strop fungus)
Lineage: Eukaryota; Fungi; Basidiomycota; Agaricomycetes; Polyporales; Fomitopsidaceae
Source: the annotation of a GenBank genome assembly